UACGUAGGUGGCAAGCGUUGUCCGGAUUUACUGGGCGUAAAGAGCGCGCAGGCGGUCGUUCAAGUCGCGUGUGAAAGCCCCCGGCUCAACUGGGGAGGGUCACGCGAUACCGCUCGACUCGAAGGCAGGAGAGGGAAGUGGAAUUCCCGGUGUAGUGGUGAAAUGCGUAGAUAUCGGGAGGAACACCAGUGGCGAAGGCGACUUCCUGGCCUGUUCUUGACGCUGAGGCGCGAAAGCUAGGGUAGCAAACGGG
Molecule: ribosomal RNA, 253 nt
Filed under: uncultured bacterium
Lineage: Bacteria
Description: partial 16S ribosomal RNA
Rfam family: Bacterial small subunit ribosomal RNA
Source: RNAcentral